Scylla paramamosain (green mud crab) is the source of this 2074-nucleotide long non-coding RNA. RefSeq lists it as uncharacterized. Lineage: Eukaryota; Metazoa; Arthropoda; Malacostraca; Decapoda; Portunidae. The record is from RefSeq and is a predicted model, not a curated record. The transcript is spliced from 5 exons.
GGAGGAGGAGGAGGGGUAACAAGGAGGACGAGGAGCGGGGAGCAAGAGGAGGGGCCAGGAAGGGAGCCGGCUGGGUCUGCUCGCCAGUCGCUUCUCACCUCCCAGAGCUCCUGCAGCAGCUUGUCGGAGAGAGCGUCUGCCCCGCGCACCAGCAAGAGAGGCGGAUGAGAGCAGAGUCCGUAAUGCCUGUGUUGGAGACGUCUAGCUCCCGAAGGUGUGGGCAGUAGCGGCCGAUCACCUCCAGCAUCUGUGGGAGGAGCAGGAGAGGUGGAUGGGUGAUGAGAGCCAAUCGCAAUCCGGAUGUUCCCCCAACCAACACACCUGGUCAAUUAUCUGCGUCAUGGACAGGUUGAGGUGCGUAACUUCCGUGAGGCAGGUGGCGAACCGCAGCAUGGCGCCAGGACCCACGUUUCGCAGACUCGUUGCUUCGAAAACCUGGUCGACUUCUGCGUUCGCUUCGCCCGCUUCAUGGGUGACGAGGAGAGGCGGCAAGUAAUCCUUCGAGAGAGCGGGAGAGUUGUAGAAAUUCUAAGUGAAAUUUUUUGAGAGAGGGAGAGAGGGAGAACGAGACGAAGGCACCAAGGAGAGAGAGCGAGAGAGGCGGUCAGUCACUCCGUCAAGGCCUUCGUCAGGAGCUUCCCCACGAGUGACCAUGAGAAUACCUUGCCCGCGCCUGACUCCGCCCCGCACAGGUGUUAAUGAGGUGUGGAGGCAAGGGAUGAGGUGACGCCGUGCCCCUGGUCAUGCUGCACGCCCCCCCACACACACCCAUAAUAGCACCACGCUCCUAUAGUUGCUGCCUCUGCCAUUUUUAGGGUCUAUAGUCUGAAGGUCAAGGGUAUUUAAAGUUUCAAAAGGUUCAAAUUAAGUUCCAAGUUUAAAAAGCUUGUCAGUUGCAGUUUAUAUAGUGUUGUAAGUUUAAGUCUAAAUUCAGGUUUAAUUAAAUCUAAAUUUCAAGUUCAUACCGUCACUUGUUGUAACCGUGCCAAGAUUUUGCUGCUUACAUAUUUACCGUCCCUUGAAAUGUCACGUGUGGCGGCGUGUGGCACCAGGCGGAACAGGUGACAUGCGCAGAGGUGCCUGGUGUUGGAUGUACGCAUGGUCUGUUUGGGUGCCACGUGAGUCUCUGUGUGUUUGCCAUUCGGUGUCACGUAGGUCAGCUUUUCGCACGCGUGUUUCAGUGGGGGAUGUGCAGAGUGGUGCUUCAGGAAUCAUUGGAUCUAGUAGGCUCCAGUCACUAGAAAUAUUGAUACAGCAGGAAGUAGUUAUAGUGUGUUAGUGCUGAAGGAUAAACAGGUGUGACUUGUCAGCUAUAUAUCAGUAGAAAUAUUAGUAAUGCGAGGGAAAUUAUGAGGUCUAAUUGUGUUGUUGGAAGGCUUUUGAUCAUGAAGUUAGUGUUUAAAGACAGAUUGAAAUAAAAACGUGAUUUAUUAUUAUUAUAUCAAUGCUGAAAUGCCAAUAAUAAGAGGAAAUAUCAGUUUGUGUUAGAAGUAUCAGUAAUGAGACAAAUAUGAACAGCUAGAAUUUUGUUAGCUUUGAUGGCAUACUAAUUCAUCACUAGAAAUAUUCAGAACAACAACAUAUCAUUAUAAAAAAAAAAAAGUCAGUGUUAGAGGACAGUGAAGUUUGUUGUGAGUUACCUAUCUCUGCAUAGACACCCAAUGAUAAAAAUUCAGGCACUGGCAAAACAUACUUAUUUGAUGGAACUUAACAAGAGACCGUGCGUGCCUCCAGCGUGGGGUGGCGCGUAUCCCCUGCGCCACAGCACCUCCGGGAACCCACUUAUGCCUGUGAAGAAACCUGGAGGAAGAGAAUCGAAGGAAGGCGACCUGGAAGAGAUGAUGAUGAGGAUUCAGAAAGUAGUAAUAUGACGAAGGAUACCAAAGAAAACGGAGAUGGGAGCCCUAAGAAGAUUGACCGAGGAACAAAAGAAAACGGACACUGCCAAGGGGGGAACUCAAGGAGGCAGGAACGAAGACAAGACGCGUUAAAAGAAAAGAUAAAAAAAACAACGUAGCAGCAGAGAAACGUGUACAAGAAAACAAACCAAAAUAAACUAGUAGAGAAACAACAA